CCUACGGGUGGCAGCAGUAGGGAAUCUUCCACAAUGGGCGAAAGCCUGAUGCAGCAACGCCGCGUGGGUGAAGAAGGUCUUCGGAUCGUAAAACCCUGUUGUUAGAGAAGAAAGUGCGUUAGAGUAACCGUUCACGUUUCGACGGUAUCUAACCAGAAAGCCACGGCUAACUACGUGCCAGCAGCCGCGGUAAUACGUAGGGGGCAAGCGUUAUCCGGAUUUAUUGGGCGUAAAGGGAACGCGGGCGGUCUUUUAAGUCUGAUGUGAAAGCCUUCGGCUUAACCGGAGUAGUGCAUUGGAAACUGGGAGACUUGAGUGCAGAAGAGGAGAGUGGAACUCCAUGUGUAGCGGUGAAAUGCGUAGAUAGAUGGAAGAACACCAGUGGCGAAGGCGGCUCUCUGGUCUGUAACUGACGCUGAGGUUCGAAAGCGUGGGUAGCAAACAGGAUUAGAUACCCGGGUAGUC
This 465-nucleotide ribosomal RNA is filed under the name uncultured bacterium. RNAcentral describes it as "partial 16S ribosomal RNA". It matches the Rfam family "Bacterial small subunit ribosomal RNA", at positions 338 to 795 of the family's 1533-position model. The record is from RNAcentral.